RNAcentral lists this ribosomal RNA (513 nucleotides) under Salmonella enterica subsp. enterica serovar Infantis. Its description in RNAcentral is "partial 23S ribosomal RNA". It matches the Rfam family "Bacterial large subunit ribosomal RNA", at positions 679 to 1190 of the family's 2925-position model. Lineage: Bacteria; Pseudomonadati; Pseudomonadota; Gammaproteobacteria; Enterobacterales; Enterobacteriaceae. The record is from RNAcentral. RNAcentral also lists the same sequence under 11 other names.
GAGUCUUAAUUGGGCGUUAAGUUGCAGGGUAUAGACCCGAAACCCGGUGAUCUAGCCAUGGGCAGGUUGAAGGUUGGGUAACACUAACUGGAGGACCGAACCGACUAAUGUUGAAAAAUUAGCGGAUGACCUGUGGCUGGGGGUGAAAGGCCAAUCAAACCGGGAGAUAGCUGGUUCUCCCCGAAAGCUAUUUAGGUAGCGCCUCGUGAAUUCAUCUCCGGGGGUAGAGCACUGUUUCGGCUAGGGGGCCAUCCCGGCUUACCAACCCGAUGCAAACUGCGAAUACCGGAGAAUGUUAUCACGGGAGACACACGGCGGGUGCUAACGUCCGUCGUGAAGAGGGAAACAACCCAGACCGCCAGCUAAGGUCCCAAAGUCAUGGUUAAGUGGGAAACGAUGUGGGAAGGCCCAGACAGCCAGGAUGUUGGCUUAGAAGCAGCCAUCAUUUAAAGAAAGCGUAAUAGCUCACUGGUCGAGUCGGCCUGCGCGGAAGAUGUAACGGGGCUAAACCAU